AAGGAAACUUGAUUAAAAAGGAGCUGCUAACUACCUUUUGUAAUGGUUAAAUUCCAUUUUUUCCUUA
This 67-nucleotide transfer RNA is filed under the name Euterpnosia chibensis. Its description in RNAcentral is "tRNA-Ser". The record is from RNAcentral. Lineage: Eukaryota; Metazoa; Arthropoda; Insecta; Hemiptera; Cicadidae.